UACGUAGGCAGCGAGCGUUGUUCGGAGUUACUGGGCGUAAAGGGUGUGUAGGCGGUUAUUUAAGUUUGGUGUGAAAUCUCCCGGCUCAACCGGGAGGGUGCGCCGAAUACUGAAUGACUUCGAGUGCGGGAGAGGAAAGUGGAAUUCCUGGUGUAGCGGUGAAAUGCGUAGAUAUCAGGAGGAACACCGGUGGUGUAGACGGCUUUCUGGACCGUAACUGACGCUGAGACACGAAAGCGUGGGUAGCAAACAGGAUUAGAUACCCUGGUAGUCCACGCCCUAAACGAUGCACAUUUGGUGUGGGUCAUUCAGUUGAUCCGUGCCGGAGCUAACGCGUUAAAUGUGCCGCCUGGGGAGUACAGUCGCAAGGCUGAAACUCAAAGGAAUUGACGGGGGCCCGCACAAGCGGUGGAGCAUGUGGUUCAAUUCGACGCAACGCGAAGAACCUUACCUGGGCUCGAACGGCCGGUCAACGGCGGUGGAAACAUCGCUACCCCGCAAGGGGGUCCGGUCGAGGUGCUGCAUGGCUGUCGUCAGCUCGUGUCGUGAGAUGUUGGGUUAAGUCCCGCAACGAGCGCAACCCUUGUCCUGUGUUGCCAUGCCGAAAGGCGGAACUCGCAGGAGACCGCCAGCGAUAAGCUGGAGGAAGGUGGGGAUGACGUCAAGUCCUCAUGGCCUUUAUGUCCAGGGCUACACACGUGCUACAAUGGACGGUACAAAGCGCCGCUAACCCGCGAGGGGGAGCCAAUCGCAGAAAACCGUUCUCAGUUCGGAUUGCAGGCUGCAACUCGCCUGCAUGAAGCUGGAAUCGCUAGUAAUGGCAGAUCAGCACGCUGCCGUGAAUACGUUCCCGGGCCUUGUACACACCGCCCGUCACAUCACGAAAGUGGAUUGUACUAGAAGUCUGCAGGCUGACCCGCAAGGGGGGCAGCGGCCCAAGGUAUGAUCCAUGAUUGGGGUG
RNAcentral lists this ribosomal RNA (961 nucleotides) under uncultured Acidobacteriota bacterium. RNAcentral describes it as "bacterial SSU rRNA". It matches the Rfam family "Bacterial small subunit ribosomal RNA", at positions 524 to 1482 of the family's 1533-position model. Lineage: Bacteria; Pseudomonadati; Acidobacteriota. The record is from RNAcentral.